CCUACGGGAGGCAGCAGUGAGGAAUAUUGGUCAAUGGGCGGGAGCCUGAACCAGCCAAGUCGCGUGAGGGAAGACGGUCCUACGGAUUGUAAACCUCUUUUGCCGGGGAGCAACGGGGUCCUUGCGAGGGCCCGAUGAGAUUACCCGGAGAAAAAGCAUCGGCUAACUCCGUGCCAGCAUCCGCGGUAAUACGGAGGAUGCGAGCGUUAUCCGGAUUUAUUGGGUUUAAAGGGUGCGUAGGCGGGCUGUUAAGUCAGCGGUAAAAUGUCGGGGCUCAACCCCGGCCUGCCGUUGAAACUGGCGGCAUCGAGUGGGCGAGAAGUAUGCGGAAGGCGUGGUGUAGCGGUGAAAUGCAUAGAUAUCGCGCAGAACUCCGAUUGCGAAGGCAGCAUACCGGCGCCCGACUGACGCUGAGGCACGAAAGCGUGGGUAUCGAACAGGAUUAGAUACCCCUGUAGUC
This 460-nucleotide ribosomal RNA is filed under the name uncultured bacterium. RNAcentral's name for it is "partial 16S ribosomal RNA". It matches the Rfam family "Bacterial small subunit ribosomal RNA", at positions 338 to 795 of the family's 1533-position model. The record is from RNAcentral.